This 253-nucleotide ribosomal RNA is filed under the name uncultured bacterium. RNAcentral's name for it is "partial 16S ribosomal RNA". It matches the Rfam family "Bacterial small subunit ribosomal RNA", at positions 524 to 776 of the family's 1533-position model. The record is from RNAcentral.
UACGAAGGGGGCUAGCGUUGCUCGGAAUUACUGGGCGUAAAGGGCGCGUAGGCGGACGGUUAAGUCAGAGGUGAAAGCCCAGAGCUCAACUCUGGAAUUGCCUUUGAUACUGAUUGUCUUGAGUAUGGGAGAGGUGUGCGGAACUCCGAGUGUAGAGGUGAAAUUCGUAGAUAUUCGGAAGAACACCAGUGGCGAAGGCGGCACACUGGCCCAUUACUGACGCUGAGGCUCGAAAGCGUGGGGAGCAAACAGG